UAAUAAAGUCCUAAUAGACUUCAGAUGAGAAGUUAAUUUUACGUUUUUCUCAGGCAUUACUGAAACUUCAGUUCCCAUCAUCUCAACAUCUGGAAAUGCAGGCAUGACAGGAGUAGUGAGCCCCACCGUCACUGGUGCUUCAGGCAUGGCAGGUACGACUGGAAGAUCCAUGGGCGCUACCACAGGAGCAGGCAGGGGAAGCACACCUGGAGCGUCAGGCACUGGGGCCACCAGCCCUGGGAACCCAGCAGGCAAGACAGAGACCCUUUUGGGGGCUGUGAUUGGGGUCUAACACAAGCUUUCCCAAGACCCCAGAAUACGAUAACGAGAUUAAGUAAAGAAAACCAAGGACGAUAUUUUAGGAAAACGACAUGAAACUGAAUAUCCUGAAAUAAUUUUUUUUGCUAAUUAUCCAUAUACAUUAAGCACCAUUAUUCUUCCAAGUAGGAACAACUGGAGGAGUGGAUGCAGCCACCACUGGAGCUGCUAGUGAAAAUACAUCUGAGAGAGCAGGCACACCGAGGGUAUCUGGAGCAACCCCUGCAGUCGGAAGUGGCAGUACCCCUGAAGAAGCAGGCCCUGGAGCCACAGUUUCUGGAAGUACAGGAGUUUCUGCAGGCUCCACCACUGCCAGCCCUGGAGCCUCAGCCACAACCUCUGAAAGCAGCAAAUCAGGAACUACUGGACCCUCAGUGGGUGGAAAAACUGGAGCCACAAGCAGUGAAGCGACAUCAUCUGAAGGCAUGUCAGGUGAGUAGAGGAUGUCAUUCCGAGGCUGUGGCUUUUGGUGAAAAGGACAAUAUUUCAUCAGACCUCUGCAAAUUUCACUAAG
Long non-coding RNA from Pan paniscus (pygmy chimpanzee), 832 nucleotides. The record is from Ensembl. NCBI's taxonomy places the organism in Eukaryota, Metazoa, Chordata, Mammalia, Primates, Hominidae.